CUGAGAGCUGCUGCCCCACAAACUUCACCCACAGCAACCAUGACUUUGGUCUCCAUCUUCAUCUGGACACUCACCCUCUGGACUCAAGCAUCUUUUGGGGAAAUAAUCAUGACUCAAACUCCAGGAUCUCAGACUGUUUCACCUGGAGACUCUGUUACUAUCAGCUGCAGAGCCAGUCAGAGCAUCAGCAGCUAUCUUGCCUGGUAUCUGCAGAAACCUGGAGAAGCUCCUAAACUCCUGAUCUAUUCUUCUACUAGCCGUCAGUCUGGUGUUCCAGAUCGUUUCAGUGGGAGUGGAUCUGGAACAGAUUAUACUCUAAAAAUCAGUGGAGUUCAGCCUGAAGAUGCAGGAGAUUAUUACUGUCAGCAGGGUUACAGCUAUCCACUCACACAGUGUUAG
This is a non-coding RNA of Colossoma macropomum (tambaqui), 399 nucleotides long. Lineage: Eukaryota; Metazoa; Chordata; Actinopteri; Characiformes; Serrasalmidae. The record is from the annotation of a RefSeq genome assembly.